Molecule: long non-coding RNA, 473 nt
Organism: Hyaena hyaena (striped hyena)
Lineage: Eukaryota; Metazoa; Chordata; Mammalia; Carnivora; Hyaenidae
Exons: 3
Source: RefSeq, a predicted model, not a curated record
UUACGGUGCCGGCACCUGGCACAGUUUUAGAGAGCGGGCUGUGGUCCUUUGCCAGCAUGAGUUGAACUCUUCUGUUCUCAUCAGAAUUGUCUCAUCAGAGACAAUUAUAAAUGCAACGUGUCAGAGAGGGUAUGGAAGAGUAGAGUUUGGCUGAGGCAAGGGGCCAGAGGAAACCCAGCACUAUCAGACCCAGGCACUCCCGACCAACACCAAGGCAGUCAGACCCACCUCCCUUUCCCGGUUGGGCCGCAGCCACUUCUGACGGCACAACAGUUAGCCUCCGCCGUCGCUGGCGUGAUGCCGGGAGGCACACCUGCCCUCAACCAGCCUAUCCUCAUCCCCUUCAACAUGGCCGGACAGCUAGGAGGGCAGCAAGGACUGGUCCUCACACUGCCUACCGCGAAUCUCACCAACAUCCAAGGGCUGGUAGCAGCAGCUGCAGCGGGAGGCAUUAUGACUCUGCCAUUGCAAAA